CAGGGACGAAAUGGUAAAGCAUCAUUGUGGGCUUUUCAGUUUGAAGGCCAGGCCUCACAUACAGAUGGAAUGGGAGAUCGAGAACGUCUCAGGGGACAAGGUAUAGCUGCAUAUUCAACUGCAAGGCACACCAUGGGCGGUUUUCAACAUCCUCUUGAUAUGGACAUGAGGUUGGCAGAGAGUGUUUGUGCUGAGUGGCCAAAGCAGCCGCUGAAAUACAGGAACGUUUGACUCACCGGGAUACACAAGCAAGGCAAGAGACCAGAUUUCAGUGCAAAGGAGAUACUGGUCGCCAUGGCAACCAGAACAGCAGCUGUGCGGCCAAGCGAAGCGGGAGCGAGAGGGAAUGGGAAGAGAGAGAG
Long non-coding RNA from Carcharodon carcharias (great white shark), 362 nucleotides. RefSeq lists it as uncharacterized. NCBI's taxonomy places the organism in Eukaryota, Metazoa, Chordata, Chondrichthyes, Lamniformes, Lamnidae. The transcript is spliced from 4 exons. The record is from RefSeq and is a predicted model, not a curated record.